ACGCUUACAAGAUGCUCCAACAACAUUAACCAAACUAUUAGCCGUUGUGAAAAAAGAGUUGACAUCAAUGUUUUUCUUUGCUACCGCAACAAGAGCUAGUUGAAGUUGAUGAGCAAAGCAAUGAACAUAAAAUGCACAAGGGUGUUCUCUCAAAAUCUUUGUCUUAAGGCCAUUGAACUCACCUCUCAUAUUGCUAGCUCCAUCAUAACCUUGUCCUCGUAGCUUGGAAAAGCUCAAAUUCGCGGAAGAAAAGAAUUCAUCAAUUGCUUCCUUUAGUGCACUUGAAGUAGUGUCGGUUACAUGUUGAACCCCUACA
This 316-nucleotide long non-coding RNA is filed under the name Prunus dulcis (almond). RNAcentral describes it as "sRNA ncRNA". Lineage: Eukaryota; Viridiplantae; Streptophyta; Magnoliopsida; Rosales; Rosaceae. The record is from RNAcentral.